This 500-nucleotide ribosomal RNA is filed under the name uncultured bacterium. RNAcentral's name for it is "partial 16S ribosomal RNA". It matches the Rfam family "Bacterial small subunit ribosomal RNA", at positions 30 to 523 of the family's 1533-position model. The record is from RNAcentral.
AUUGAACGCUGGCGGCAUGCUUUACACAUGCAAGUCGAACGGCAGCACGGACUUCGGUCUGGUGGCGAGUGGCGAACGGGUGAGUAAUACAUCGGAACGUGCCCAGUUGUGGGGGAUAACUACUCGAAAGAGUAGCUAAUACCGCAUGAGAACUGAGGUUGAAAGCAGGGGAUCGUAAGACCUUGCGCAACUGGAGCGGCCGAUGGCAGAUUAGGUAGUUGGUGGGAUAAAAGCUUACCAAGCCGACGAUCUGUAGCUGGUCUGAGAGGACGACCAGCCACACUGGGACUGAGACACGGCCCAGACUCCUACGGGAGGCAGCAGUGGGGAAUUUUGGACAAUGGGCGAAAGCCUGAUCCAGCAAUGCCGCGUGCAGGAUGAAGGCCUUCGGGUUGUAAACUGCUUUUGUACGGAACGAAAAGCUUCGGGUUAAUACCCUGGAGUCAUGACGGUACCGUAAGAAUAAGCACCGGCUAACUACGUGCCAGCCGCCGCGGUAA